GACUGCGGACAGACGUCACACGCUCACUGCAAACAACACGUGGGUGCGUUGGAAGACGUGCUGGUACUGAGCGCACGGUGGUCACGACUUUGUGUGAGGAAUCGCUGGCACACCUACGUGAUAUCAUAGCUCUAUGGUGAUAUGGAUUUUUCAGCAAAGAGGUUUGGCAGUGAUGCAUGAGGAAAGUCAAGGAAACGUCGAAGAGUGGCACAAUUAAGAGACUCAACUUCAUUAGGGCCAGGCUAGUGGACUAUACCUCCAAUACUUGGCCCUAUACUCCUUAACGAGAAACAGGUGGAGGAAGGCUUAAACAUUGGGAUAAAGCUCCCCGGCCACGAACGGUAUCAACCACAUACAGGUAUUUCUCAAUUGCCUUUUUGAUUAAGUCACUUAGUAGUUUAUCUUGUUCAAUUUGCCCAAAUGGUGAAUUCCUGACCAUCGUGCCUGUUGUUGAAUUAUUUGUCAUCUCGAUACCAGAUUUUGUUACAACUGUGAUUUUCUCAAGAUCUUCAGUGGCAGUGAACAUGUACAACUCUAGACACCAGCAGUUGUGGUGAUCUCUGAGAACGUUAAUAACUGCACACCACAUUAGGUCUGCCGUGUAUUCUAUUGCACCAUAUGCCUGCAUUGCAUUGGCUGGACGCCACACCUGCAUACACACCUGGCAGCUGGCAAUCAGAUCAAGCCCUUUAUUGUCAUAAUAUCUGCUCUUGGAACAGUGAUGAAGGUCCAAGCAAGACAGUCAGAUUUUGGAAUCAAAGAGGGCCAGCAGUCUGUAGCUACAACCCUUAGAAGAGGAGUUUUAAAACAGUGGUGAAAACUGCAUGUAUCACUUUGCAAAUACUGACCUUGACCCUGACCCCACCAGAUGCAGCAUUCUGCAGCAGAUGUAAAAGGCUGAUGCACUAUAGCCGUGUUCCUCUUUGACUUUUUCUUCCGUGGGCGUGCGGAAACUUACUGCCACAUGCCUUUGUGUCAAUCUACCGGGCAUUCCCACCUCGGACUUGUUUUUAACCGUAAUGGAAUGCUUAUUUGCUGUGUUAGGCCUAACAUGAUAAGACCAGCUGAUUACAUAGCCUGCGCUGUACAAAAUGAUGAAAUCGGCAAAAUUUGACAAAAACAAAGAUAAAAUCAGACAAAUUUGGCCAAAUCUGCUAUAAAGACGACAAACUCGUACAAGAAAAGCCCUGUACAAAAUGUGUGUAUAGCUUUAUCUGGGCAUGCCUCACUGUGUGUGUGUGGCAUGCUGCUGUACUGUACGCAUGGAGCUGGAGGCUGGGAACCAUACAACCAUUUUCUCUGUGUGGGCAAUAGUCUGGUUCGUAUGUUUAGCGUGGUCGCGGUCAAUCUACAUUGUAUGGGAAUUGUUCCCAGUGGACUUUUCGCACCCCUGCUAACUUACCGUGUCUGCACGGAAAGCUUAUGCGACCCUUUCGGCCUGUUAGCUUUACAUCGCGAUCACGGUAAGUUGACAGGGACGUUAUAGUUUACCGUGU
Acanthaster planci (crown-of-thorns starfish) is the source of this 1496-nucleotide long non-coding RNA. The record is from RefSeq and is a predicted model, not a curated record. Lineage: Eukaryota; Metazoa; Echinodermata; Asteroidea; Valvatida; Acanthasteridae.